This 245-nucleotide ribosomal RNA is filed under the name uncultured Geodermatophilaceae bacterium. RNAcentral's name for it is "partial 16S ribosomal RNA". It matches the Rfam family "Bacterial small subunit ribosomal RNA", at positions 524 to 768 of the family's 1533-position model. The record is from RNAcentral. Lineage: Bacteria; Bacillati; Actinomycetota; Actinomycetes; Geodermatophilales; Geodermatophilaceae.
UACGUAGGGUGCAAGCGUUGUCCGGAAUUAUUGGGCGUAAAGAGCUCGUAGGCGGUCUGUCGCGUCGGCUGUGAAAACUCGGGGCUCAACCCCGAGCCUGCAGUCGAUACGGGCAGACUUGAGUGCUGUAGGGGAGACUGGAAUUCCUGGUGUAGCGGUGAAAUGCGCAGAUAUCAGGAGGAACACCGGUGGCGAAGGCGGGUCUCUGGGCAGUAACUGACGCUGAGGAGCGAAAGCGUGGGGAG